Long non-coding RNA from Juglans microcarpa x Juglans regia, 856 nucleotides. RefSeq lists it as uncharacterized. Lineage: Eukaryota; Viridiplantae; Streptophyta; Magnoliopsida; Fagales; Juglandaceae. The record is from RefSeq and is a predicted model, not a curated record. The transcript is spliced from 3 exons.
CCAGUACUAGUUCUUCCUUUGAGUCCAAUACAAAUCCUACUUCUCCAAUCAACGUACACUCAUGGUAGACAAAAUUGGUUUCCUCGUACCCCAUUUUCUUACUCUCAUUUUGGUACAGUAGUCUUACACAAGUACUGCCAUUCCCAACAUUACAACCGAUCAAUCUGCUCCUGGCAUUAAAGGCUUCUAUUUCUUAUGAUCCUCACGAUGUUUUGGCAAAUAAUCGGUCAACCAGUAGUACUUCCGUUUGCAAUUGGGUUGGUAUCACACGUGGCUCUAGACAUCUCCGAGUCACAGCCUUGAACCUUUCUUACAUGGAUUUUGAUGGUACCAUUCCUCCACACAUUGGAAACCUCUCGUUUCUUGUUAGCCUAAUGAUCAGAAACAAUAGCUUUCACGGUUCAAUUCCCAACGAGUUGUCUCGUCUUCAUCGGUUGCGGUUUUUAAACUUGGGAUACAAUGAAUUCAACGGAGAAAUGUCAUCAUGGAUAGGGUUGCUAACCAAACUUCAAUAUUUGGCGCUGUUUGGUAACAACUUCUUAGGCGAACUCCCAGAAAUGGAGAACUUAACCAUGCUUACAAAGUUAAUUAAACCUUAGUCAAAACAACUUUGCAGGGACCAUCUGAUAAUCUCUGUACAAGUGCAAACAGCUACAGAUUCUAGAUUUGUGGAAAAACAAUUUCGAUGGAGUAGUACCCCAAGAAAUAGGGAACUUAAGCAUGCUUACAAAGUUAAGCCUCGGUAAUAACAACUUUGAAGGUAAUUUUAUUGUUGUUUUAAUUAGGUCCGUUCCUUUCAUUUGAAAGCACAAAAUAAUUUGACAAAACAUGAUGGUGGAAAGUACAAGAUUAUUUA